This 173-nucleotide ribosomal RNA is filed under the name uncultured bacterium. Its description in RNAcentral is "partial 16S ribosomal RNA". It matches the Rfam family "Bacterial small subunit ribosomal RNA", at positions 336 to 526 of the family's 1533-position model. The record is from RNAcentral.
CUCCUACGGGAGGCAGCAGUGGGGAAUCUUGCACAAUGGACGAAAGUCUGAUGCAGCAACGCCGCGUGGGGGAUGAAGCUUCUCGGAGUGUAAACCCCUUUCGGUAGGGAAGAUAAUGACGGUACCUACAGAAGCAGCUGCGGCUAACUACGUGCCAGCAGCCGCGGUAAUAC